Molecule: long non-coding RNA, 268 nt
Organism: Oncorhynchus tshawytscha (Chinook salmon)
Lineage: Eukaryota; Metazoa; Chordata; Actinopteri; Salmoniformes; Salmonidae
Source: Ensembl
AAACAUAGGACAAAAUACAGAACACUAAUGGACUUGAGUCUCUCUGCAACUCCUCUGAUUCCUCACGAGGCCAAGACUAACACACACACACUCUACUCUACUCUACUCUGGAGUGGCACAUUUGGAGUGGCUGACCAGCGAGGAGCAGAGAAGUGUUAAUGCUGUCGGGGAGGAGAAAGGCUGAGCCCUGAGUGGUUUGUUGUCUCCCUCUGUGAAUUACACAUUCUGUUGACAGUAGAUGGGAUUCUGCCAUCUGAAGAAUUACAGC